RNAcentral lists this ribosomal RNA (486 nucleotides) under uncultured bacterium. RNAcentral describes it as "partial 16S ribosomal RNA". It matches the Rfam family "Bacterial small subunit ribosomal RNA", at positions 30 to 507 of the family's 1533-position model. The record is from RNAcentral.
AUUGAACGCUGGCGGCAUGCCUUACACAUGCAAGUCGAACGGCAGCACGGGUGCUUGCACCUGGUGGCGAGUGGCGAACGGGUGAGUAAUACAUCGGAACAUGUCCUGUAGUGGGGGAUAGCCCGGCGAAAGCCGGAUUAAUACCGCAUACGCUCCACGGAUGAAAGCGGGGGACCUUCGUGCCUCGCGCUAUAGGGUUGGCCGAUGGCUGAUUAGCUAGUUGGUGGGGUCAAGGCCUACCAAGGCGACGAUCAGUAGCUGGUCUGAGAGGACGACCAGCCACACUGGGACUGAGACACGGCCCAGACUCCUACGGGAGGCAGCAGUGGGGAAUUUUGGACAAUGGGCGAAAGCCUGAUCCAGCAAUGCCGCGUGUGUGAAGAAGGCCUUCGGGUUGUAAAGCACUUUUGUCCGGAAAGAAAUCCUUGACUCUAAUACAGUCGGGGGAUGACGGUACCGGAAGAAUAAGCACCGGCUAACUACGUG